This 267-nucleotide ribosomal RNA is filed under the name uncultured bacterium. RNAcentral's name for it is "partial 16S ribosomal RNA". It matches the Rfam family "Bacterial small subunit ribosomal RNA", at positions 793 to 1055 of the family's 1533-position model. The record is from RNAcentral.
GUCCACGCCGUAAACGAUGGGUGCUAGGUGUCGCGGGCAUUGACCCCUGCGGUGCCGAAGCCAACGCAUUAAGCACCCCGCCUGGGGAGUACGGCCGCAAGGCUAAAACUCAAAGGAAUUGACGGGGGCCCCGCACAAGCGGUGGAGCAUGUGGUUUAAUUCGACGCAACGCGCAGAACCUUACCCGGGCUAGAAAAUGCAGGAACCUGGUCGAAAGGUCGGGGUGCUCUUCGGAGAACCUGUAGUUAGGUGCUGCAUGGCUGUCGU